UUGAGUACUGGAAUGAAUGAUUUAACACGUAAUUUUUUUUUUAAAAUUAAAAAUUGUAAUUUAGAGCUUAAGUAAUAAUACUUAAAUUUAUUAAAAAGACGAUAAGACCCUAAAAGCUUUAAUUUAUAAUUAUUCAUAAAUUAAAUUGGAUUUGUUUAAUUUUUUACUGGGGUAGUAUUAUUAUUUAUUUAUAAYUYAGAAAUUUAAUUUUUAAAUUCCUUAUAAUUAGGAUUUAAGUAAGUUACUUUAGGGAUAACAGCGUGAUAGAGUUGAAAAGAACAUAUUUAUAACACUGAUUACGACCUCGAUGUUGAAUUAAUAAAUCUAUUUGAAGCAGUUUUUAAAUAAGAGGGUUUGUUCAACCUUUAAU
RNAcentral lists this ribosomal RNA (370 nucleotides) under Peramphithoe aorangi. Its description in RNAcentral is "partial large subunit ribosomal RNA". Lineage: Eukaryota; Metazoa; Arthropoda; Malacostraca; Amphipoda; Ampithoidae. The record is from RNAcentral.